UGGGGAAUAUUGGACAAUGGGCGAAAGCCUGAUCCAGCCAUGCCGCGUGUGUGAAGAAGGUCUUCGGAUUGUAAAGCACUUUAAGUUGGGAGGAAGGGCAGUAAGCGAAUACCUUGCUGUUUUGACGUUACCGACAGAAUAAGCACCGGCUAACUCUGUGCCAGCAGCCGCGGUAAUACAGAGGGUGCAAGCGUUAAUCGGAAUUACUGGGCGUAAAGCGCGCGUAGGUGGUUCGUUAAGUUGAAUGUGAAAGCCCCGGGCUCAACCUGGGAACUCAUCCAAAACUGGCGAGCUAGAGUAGGGCAGAGGGUGGUGGAAUUUCCUGUGUAGCGGUGAAAUGCGUAGAUAUAGGAAGGAACACCAGUGGCGAAGGCGACCACCUGGGCUCAUACUGACACUGAGGUGCGAAAGCGUGGGGAGCAAACAGG
RNAcentral lists this ribosomal RNA (428 nucleotides) under Pseudomonadota bacterium. RNAcentral describes it as "Proteobacteria bacterium partial 16S ribosomal RNA". It matches the Rfam family "Bacterial small subunit ribosomal RNA", at positions 355 to 776 of the family's 1533-position model. Lineage: Bacteria; Pseudomonadati; Pseudomonadota. The record is from RNAcentral.